ACGCGAAGCCCCCUUCGGGGGGCAAGUAGAGUGGCGCACGGGUGAGUAACACGUAGGUAAUCUACCUUUGGAUGGGGAAUAACAACCGGAAACGGUUGCUAAUACCGCAUAAUGCAGCGGCACCUAAUGGUGACAGUUGUUAAAGCGGGGGAUCGUAAGACCUCGCGUCUGAAGAGGAGCCUGCGGCGGAUUAGCUAGUUGGUAAGGUAACGGCUUACCAAGGCUUUGAUCCGUAGCCGGCCUGAGAGGGCGGUCGGCCACACUGACACUGACAUACGGGUCAGACUCCUACGGGAGGCAGCAGUCGGGAAUUUUGGGCAAUGGGCGAAAGCCUGACCCAGCAACGCCACGUGAAGGAUGAAAUCCCUCGGGAUGUAAACUUCGCAAGAACAGGAAGAAUAAGUAAGGGUUAAUAUCUCUUACGAUGACGGUACUGUUUGUAAGCUCCGGCUAACUCCGUGCCAGCAGCCGCGGUAAUACGGGGGGAGCAAGCGUUG
This 497-nucleotide ribosomal RNA is filed under the name uncultured bacterium. Its description in RNAcentral is "bacterial SSU rRNA". It matches the Rfam family "Bacterial small subunit ribosomal RNA", at positions 66 to 543 of the family's 1533-position model. The record is from RNAcentral.